GAUGAAGAACGCAGCGAAAUGCGAUAAGUAAUGUGAAUUGCAGAAUUCAGUGAAUCAUCGAAUCUUUGAACGCACAUUGCGCCCGCCAGUAUUCUGGCGGGCAUGCCUGUUCGAGCGUCAUUACAACCCUCAGGCCCCCGGGCCUGGCGUUGGGGAUCGGCGGAGCCCCCCGUGGGCACACGCCGUCCCCCAAAUACAGUGGCGGUCCCGCCGCAGCUUCCAUCGCGUAGUAGCUAACACCUCGCGACUGGCGAGCGGCGCGGCCACGCCGUAAAACACCCAACUCUUCUGAAGUUGACCUCGAAUCAGGUAGGAAUACCCGCUGAACUUAAGCAUAUCAAUAAGCGGAGGA
Molecule: unclassified non-coding RNA, 352 nt
Filed under: soil metagenome
Description: partial contains 5.8S ribosomal RNA, internal transcribed spacer 2, and large subunit ribosomal RNA
Rfam family: 5.8S ribosomal RNA (bases 1-120)
Source: RNAcentral